AAAAAUCUCACCCAGCUUGGUGCUUUCGAGCGUUGAGUGGAGGUGGAUCUGGAUCUUUGCGUUAGCAAUCUUCUUAAAUUCAUUGUGUGUGCACCAAUUGAUGUUUCUUUUGGUUGUCCGAGUGCAACAGAUUUAUCUAUUUCGCUUUGGCAAUUGAUUGAUGCUCUUGAUGCGCAUGCUUCACCCAUAAUACGGUCUUCAAAUCGGUAUGAUUUGGAUUUCCGAUA
Molecule: unclassified non-coding RNA, 227 nt
Filed under: Spizellomyces dolichospermus
Lineage: Eukaryota; Fungi; Chytridiomycota; Chytridiomycetes; Spizellomycetales; Spizellomycetaceae
Description: partial internal transcribed spacer 2
Source: RNAcentral